RNAcentral lists this ribosomal RNA (384 nucleotides) under uncultured bacterium. RNAcentral describes it as "bacterial SSU rRNA". It matches the Rfam family "Bacterial small subunit ribosomal RNA", at positions 29 to 414 of the family's 1533-position model. The record is from RNAcentral.
AUUAAACGCUGGCGGCAUGCCUUACACAUGCAAGUCGAACGGCAGCACGGGGGCAACCCUGGUGGCGAGUGGCGGACGGGUGAGUAAAGCAUCGGAACGUAUCCUGGAGUGGGGGAUAACGUAGCGAAAGUUACGCUAAUACCGCAUAUUCUGUGAGCAGGAAAGCAGGGGAUCGCAAGACCUUGCGCUCUGGGAGCGGCCGAUGUCGGAUUAGCUAGUUGGUGGGGUAAAGGCCUACCAAGGCGACGAUCCGUAGCGGGUCUGAGAGGAUGAUCCGCCACACUGGGACUGAGACACGGCCCAGACUCCUACGGGAGGCAGCAGUGGGGAAUUUUGGACAAUGGGCCGAAGCCUGAUCCAGCCAUGCCGCGUGAGUGAAGAAGG